AAAUUUCUUGAGCUGAAGCAUGUAAUACAUAAAAUAGAAACUUAAACCUCACCGAUCAUGUUCAUAAUGGAAAAUUUGUGAAGGGAAAAGACAGGAGAAAAAUCGCACAACAGUCAAUAAUACAUACCAAUUGCCACUACAGCAUUCACAAGCCUGCUUCUAAUUGGUUCAGGAUGCUGAUUAACUAUCUAAAUCAUAAACUUCUACCAAAAAGCAUAAGCAGUUCUAUUCUGAAGAACUACUGCUUGCUUUUCUGCAAGUAAAUAACCAGCCUUCUUCUAGUACACAACAAAUUAGACAUGAGUUGCUCCUCAUGUUCAAGAAAAUCAAAUUUUGUUUAAAUGAACUCAAUGAAAUGAGAUGCAUUAAAUUCAUUCCCUACAGGCAAAACAGAAUCCAUGGACAUCCACAGCUGAUUAAACAUCAAGCUACAUCCUCUUCUUCACAUCAACAACAAUUAGUCAUCCUUGAUUCUCUUUACAGAAUUUUUGUUUUCGCUCAUCAAUCAAUGUCAGAAAACUUCUUACAAUUCUUUGAUCCUGACAAUGAAGCCCCUUUAACAUUGCAACUAAAUUGCUCCUAUUGCUUUCGCGUCCUAAUUCUGGACAUGCGGUGGUUGAGCUUCCUCCCUCAAUGGCAUAUUGAUGUCCAUUGAUGCAAGGCCUUCUAACUCUUGGAUUGCUACAACUGCGCUAUUUGCUGUUUCACUGGUUACCUGAGGCUUUAGCACACCAACAGCUUGCUUCACUCUUGAUUGCUGCAAGUAACAAUUUUUUUUUUGCAAUAAAUGUAAGUUUUUCACAAAAUAAAGAUUUCCAAUUUUUUCAAAGUGCAAUGAAAUUAUUCGACUCACAAAAAAUUCAAAUUUCCUCUUAAGAUCUCCAUAAGCUUCUGCUUGCUGGUGAGAUGCAUUCUUCUUAGGUCGGCCAACAGGCCUUCCAGGGCGCUUGUUCGGCUUCACGACCCCACCAACCUUGGGUGGCCGGCCUGGUCUCUUUGUUGGCACAACGACAACACCACCGGCAGCAGCUAAAACCGGAGGUUUCUUCGGGCGACCUCUUGGCCUUGGCACAUUGAGAACUGCAGCACCGGUAGCAUAAGGAACAACAACAGACAUAGGGAGGCGUUUAGGAGCCUUCUUAACCCCAUUAGCAGCCACAGACUUAGGCUUCUUGGGUCUCCCUGGACUCUUCUUAGCUCCGAUCGACAUAAUCUUCGGCGGCCGCCCUCUCCUCUUAGCCACCAACGGCGUACCUUGUCCGGCCACCUUCUUAGGACGCCCAGGGCCCCUCUUAACCGCGUCAGCCUGAAGCUGAGCUGCAGAAGCAGCAGCAGCAUUGGGUGGAUAUUCAGCUAAAUUGGGCUGAAUGGAGGGAGCAGCAGCCACAUUGGACUGAAUGGAGGGAGGAGGAGCAGGCACAUUGGGCUGUAUGGAAAGAGAAAGACCGAGAGGAACCAUCACAGGCGAAUGAGUAUUAGCAGGAUAAUUGGGCUGCUCAAUGGGCUGCACAGCACCAGCAAUACUAUCAAUAAGAGAAAUGGAAAUGGAUUUGGGCUUAGGAGGCCUGCCGCGACCCCUCUUAGGCCCAGGGACAGAAGAGGCAGCAGAGCCGGCAACAGGAUUUGGCUCAGACUGAGAUUGAGAUUGAGUAUCAUUGGAGACAUCAGAUCUAGGAAGCAUGUAAGAUUUCUUCGCCAUCACAAGUAGGCCACUGCUCUUUAACCGCUUCAGGUGAUGAGUCAACAAGGCUGAGUGAGUCGGUGGCAGUCCCGUGUACGCUUUCUCUAUGUACUUAGCUAUAGCUCUCUUGCUCGACCCGUCUCGUUCCUUUAACGCCGUUAUCGCUGCAAAGAUCAUAUCAGCGUAUGAUGGGUGGUUGAAAGAUUGGGUCAGGGUGGGGGUGGCGUUGGCUGCAUGUGCUAUGUGAUUGUUGUUAGGAACUUCGACGCUAAGACCGGCGCCUGAACUUUUGGUUGCUGUCUCUGUAGUUAUGGUUGAGAAGUCGCCGGGCACGGUGGUGAAGGUGGCGGUGGGGAGCGGAGGAAACGUUGGUUGAGGUGGGGGUGGGUCCAUGAUGAGAUAGAAAGAGAGAAUUUUUCUUAUUUUUGUUUUUUGACAAGAAAAAAAAAAUCUGUUUCUAAAGACAGAUAGAAAAGAGUAGGAUAAAUUGCUAAAAUGUAUUGUUAGAGAGAGAAAAGAGGAGAGGGAGAGAGGAGAGAGUAGGUAAGUGGUAUAGUAAAUAGAAGGAAGUGGAAGGGAUAAUAUUGUCUUUUUGUGGUAAUGGUGGGUGGGGACCACUUCCUGUCUUUCUUUCCUUUAUUAAUAUAGUAAAGGUGAGGUGGGAGAGGGCGGUGCCGCUCACGAUACUCGCAAUGUUCAUUAAAUUUUCAACCUUGAUCUACAUUCGAAUACGGUUGAAAAGCGGCCGAGAUCUGACUUGCUGGUGGUGGCCGGUGGACCUCCGGAGGAUACAGCCUGGCGAUUUUAAUGCCCAUCGGACCCAAAAUGGAUGCUCCAUUUUUUCCUCUUUUUCCGUUAUGACGCAAUUGCCCAUUUGCGACGCUUGAAAUUACAGAGGACACCCUCCAGGCCACCGCCACUUAUUGAGGAGCAUCUACCAUACGAGAAGUUAUAGAAGUACGUAUAU
This 2648-nucleotide unclassified non-coding RNA is filed under the name Hevea brasiliensis (rubber tree). The record is from RNAcentral. Lineage: Eukaryota; Viridiplantae; Streptophyta; Magnoliopsida; Malpighiales; Euphorbiaceae.